GUGCCAGCAGCCGCGGUAAUACGUAGGGUGCGAGCGUUGUCCGGAAUUACUGGGCGUAAAGAGCUCGUAGGUGGUUUGUCGCGUUGUUCGUGAAAACUCACAGCUUAACUGUGGGCGUGCGGGCGAUACGGGCAGACUAGAGUACUGCAGGGGAGACUGGAAUUCCUGGUGUAGCGGUGGAAUGCGCAGAUAUCAGGAGGAACACCGGUGGCGAAGGCGGGCCUCUGGGCAGUAACUGACGCUGAGGAGCGAAAGCGUGGGGAGCGAACAGGAUUAGAUACCCUGGUAGUCCACGCCGUAAACGGUGGGUACUAGGUGUGGGUUCCUUCCUUGGGAUCUGUGCCGUAGCUAACGCAUUAAGUACCCCGCCUGGGGAGUACGGCCGCAAGGCUAAAACUCAAAGGAAUUGACGGGGGCCCGCACAAGCGGCGGAGCAUGUGGAUUAAUUCGAUGCAACGCGAAGAACCUUACCUGGGUUUGACAUGCACAGGACGCCGGCAGAGAUGUCGGUUCCCUUGUGGCCUGUGU
This 528-nucleotide ribosomal RNA is filed under the name uncultured organism. Its description in RNAcentral is "SSU rRNA". It matches the Rfam family "Bacterial small subunit ribosomal RNA", at positions 505 to 1033 of the family's 1533-position model. The record is from RNAcentral.